Molecule: long non-coding RNA, 365 nt
Filed under: Parus major (Great Tit)
Lineage: Eukaryota; Metazoa; Chordata; Aves; Passeriformes; Paridae
Description: lncRNA (ENSPMJG00000016045.1)
Source: RNAcentral
CUACAACAGAGGGCAAGGUUCCUCCACUCCUUCUCUACCCGUGAGCAGCCGAAAGGGGAAUAUUGUGAAUAUUUUUAGGACCCCCUGGAAGUUUGGGAAAUGUUGCUGUAUCAAUGUGCAGCUGGAGAAGCCAAAGCCUCUGAAGCAGAGCAGGCGCACUCAGAACUGGACAAGCUGGAGCAAGGUCUGUAAGCCUCUCUUCCCUGGCCUGACCACCAGAUGGAGAUGUGCCCCCCAGAGCUGUGAGAAAUGCAGGGGUCCAUGAAAAUACAUUUCACACUGGUUUCUCAAGGACCUGCCAGUGCAGACAUUCUUCCCAAAGGUCUCACAACAAGUCAGAUCUAGACAGUGGUAUGGGAAAGGAG